Lolium rigidum is the source of this 2655-nucleotide long non-coding RNA. RefSeq lists it as uncharacterized. Lineage: Eukaryota; Viridiplantae; Streptophyta; Magnoliopsida; Poales; Poaceae. The record is from RefSeq and is a predicted model, not a curated record. The transcript is spliced from 7 exons.
AACGAGUAGAAGCAGGAGCUGAGGGUGCUGGUCCUGGCUCGCCCGCUUGCCCAGCUACAAGUUGGAGUGGUGCAGCAGGUUCAGGAGGACUUCCUCCUCUCGGAUGCUGGGGACAACAACGAGUACAACAGAUAGGGUGAGAACCCCAGCUAUCUUAGUAUGGUGGAAUAGACCAAAGCGGCAGCGAUGGCAAUGAUCCACAGCUCCAGCUCCAGUUUCAGGAGAGCAACUUUCUCCACUUGGACUACGCCGGAGACAAGAACGACUCGUAGUAAGGUUCAGAUCAUACCGGGGUUGAAUAGCACCAAGCCGGGCGUACCAGGAGGCGGUGUUGGAGGGUGGAGCAGGACUCCACUUGUGCAUUUAUGUCUCUGAUUUUGCUGCAUGCAUAGAUUUUCUUGCUGCCACUUUUCCUGAAUAUGGAUGGCGCCUGGGCUGGCUACUGUUGCUUAGGCUCUCAUACGAUGGACUUAGAAUGCUAACCGUCGCCACAUGCCGGUGAGUCCCACAUCCUCCUGGACCUGCCCGGUUCCUUUUGCUAAUUAAAGGCUGCGCCUUCUUCAUUUUCUAUGCGGUGAAAUAUAAAACCCUAGCUUAACUUGUCUGCUCUAUGUAGAAGAUUCAGGAUUGGGGUGCAGUGGUGAUGGUAGAGCCACUACCAGCAGCAGCAGUGAUGGUGCUGUGUAUGAAGGUCCAGAGUGGCGCCUUGGUAUAGGAUGACGACUUCCUCCUCCACUAAGAUGCAUGCAACCGCCACCUGGGACAGGAACGAACCACUAGGUGCCUCCUGCUGCCUACCGUUUACUGACUGAUUGUUCCUUCGUUGUCCGUUGUGCACCACAAUCGUUUGGUUGUGAAGUUACCUUGUUGUUUGCAGGCUGUGUUGAGUGUGUGGUUUUGGUAUACUUAAGUUCAUACAUUUCUUUUGGUACAUAAAUGGGAUUGUUCCUGCUUAAGUGUAUGUGUAAAAUUGACACUAGCAGUUUAUUUAUCUUGUGAACAAGAACCUGGAUUCUAAUUCUGGAGCAAAACAUGCUGUACAUGAUAAUCCUAGAUUCCGUGGUUGGCAGCAGCUACAUUUGUGUCUUCUUCUUGUGAGUAAAUUUACCCUGCAUACUUGUUUUCAAAGGCAGUAGCACUUGUAUUUCUAGAUACAUUAACACUUUGGGUAUUCUGCUCUAAUUAUUCUCUUCAUCAUCCGUGACAACAUAAUUUCUUGCUUCCUCUUGUCCUUAAUUUGGAGCAUGCCUUGGAGCUUAAAGUAUGUAGUAGUCGGUUCGGGUUGACUUCCUCCACUCAGACGCCAUUGGGGACAAUAAACUAUGCGAGGUACCUCCUUGCUCCCGCUGCCUUCUCUAAAAAAAUCAUGGUAGUUGUUCGGUUGAUGCUCUUGGAAAUAUGCUAAGUUCCCUGAAACUGAGUCCUAAUAACUUGAUGGUGAUAUGACAUGCAUAUUGACUAGACGCACUGACAUCUGUUGAUUGGAUCAUGCUUCGUUACCUCUCAUUAUGUUGCCUAGAAGUUUUCUUAUGCAAUGUGGAUGGUACUGAUGUCAAUGAAAGUUAAGCAAUCUCGAUAUUUUUUUGACUGAAAAGUUCUUUGUUUGACAGCCUGUACUGUUUGGUUUAUUUAAGUAGUUGACAUUAAUUGUUUGUCUUAAAUUUAUUUGCAUUUCUUGUCCUUUUAUACAAUGGUGUUUACUGGCUAGCAUUUUGGUUGCACUAAUUUCUUUAUGCAGAAUUAACCCUGAUGCGUAUGUAUAAAUCUAGCCCUAUGUAGCUUUAUAAACUGGUACUAUUGGUUUCUCUUUCUCUCUUGAUGCGUCCCUAUGUUUGUUUGGCUUCUAUUUUCGUAUGCUAAGUAUCUCUUUUAUCCGGGCUGGGCCUAUGGGCGUGCGACCCGCAUUAUGGGCUUGAUGAUUGAAAUGAAAUGGCCUUACUGCCAUGUGGCCGUGGCUUCUGAAAUUCGAUUUUUGUGGCAUCUUGGCAUAACAUGGUUUAGUUGGAUUCCAACAUGAAAACUAAACCUCAAUAUAUUUGAAGCGUUGCCUUUAUGUAAUUUGGAGCGCAGUUUUACUUUAGAGGGGUCAAUAGUUGUUUACUUUGUGCUGGCUAGAUCUUAUUGCAUUGCCUUGUAUUGGGUAUGAAUGAUCUUGAUAAAAUAGGAGCGCUUUUACUUGUCAACACUCUGAACCUUGACCGAAUUUCUUGUCUUUGUUUGUUAUUAUGGAUUUUAGGUGAAGAAGAAAAGAGCAAGUACUUCAUCCAUGCAGUUCUGUACUAGUAGAAAUUAAGGCCUAAGAUAAUUUACCCUCUAGGCAUCAAGACGUAGGCUGAAAGGAGAGGACGUUGGAGCUGGGCCAAGGCAGCAGAGCCGUUGGUUUGAGGCUGAAGUUGGUUGAGGGCCACCUGGAGAAGCGGUGCAAGUCAGCCAUCGUGCUGGUGCUCAAAUACGAGAGCACAAACAAGUGCGUUUUCGAUGCCCACAUGGCGGUGGUGAAGCAGUUCACGUGGGAGGGAGUGUAGGGAAAGUAGGAGUUCCUGGUGGAGGUGUAGAUGCUGACGGUGCUCACCCACCGGGACCUUGUCAGCCUGGUCGGGAGAGGUUUGCUCGUUUGUGAGUACAUGCAGUUCGACAUCCAGGAGAGACAUCUUU